CGGGUGAGUAACACGUGGAUAACCUACCUAUAAGACUGGGAUAACUUCGGAAAACCGGAGCUAAUACCGGAUAAUAUAUUGAACCGCAUGGUUCAAUAGUGAAAGACGGUUUUGCUGUCACUUAUAGAUGGAUCCGCGCUGCAUUAGCUAGUUGGUAAGGUAACGGCUUACCAAGGCAACGAUGCGUAGCCGACCUGAGAGGGUGAUCGGCCACACUGGAACUGAGACACGGUCCAGACUCCUACGGGAGGCAGCAGCG
Molecule: ribosomal RNA, 259 nt
Filed under: uncultured Staphylococcus sp.
Lineage: Bacteria; Bacillati; Bacillota; Bacilli; Caryophanales; Staphylococcaceae
Description: partial 16S ribosomal RNA
Rfam family: Bacterial small subunit ribosomal RNA
Source: RNAcentral